RNAcentral lists this transfer RNA (73 nucleotides) under Blautia faecis. Its description in RNAcentral is "tRNA-Glu". It matches the Rfam family "tRNA". From Rfam's summary of the family: Transfer RNA (tRNA) molecules are approximately 80 nucleotides in length. Their secondary structure includes four short double-helical elements and three loops (D, anti-codon, and T loops). Further hydrogen bonds mediate the characteristic L-shaped molecular structure. tRNAs have two regions of fundamental functional importance: the anti-codon, which is responsible for specific mRNA codon recognition, and the 3' end, to which the tRNAs corresponding amino acid is attached (by aminoacyl-tRNA synthetases). tRNAs cope with the degeneracy of the genetic code in two manners: having more than one tRNA (with a specific anti-codon) for a particular amino acid; and 'wobble' base-pairing, i.e. permitting non-standard base-pairing at the 3rd anti-codon position. Lineage: Bacteria; Bacillati; Bacillota; Clostridia; Lachnospirales; Lachnospiraceae. The record is from RNAcentral.
GUCCGGUUCGACAAGUGGUUUAAGUCACCACACUUUCUAUGUGGUAUCAAGAGUUCGAAUCUCUUACCGGAUA